AAAGAACACCACCUUGGGGAACGCCCGC
RNAcentral lists this small RNA (28 nucleotides) under Bombyx mori (domestic silkworm). Its description in RNAcentral is "ovarian small RNA-10044". Lineage: Eukaryota; Metazoa; Arthropoda; Insecta; Lepidoptera; Bombycidae. The record is from RNAcentral.